Molecule: ribosomal RNA, 467 nt
Filed under: uncultured bacterium
Lineage: Bacteria
Description: partial 16S ribosomal RNA
Rfam family: Bacterial small subunit ribosomal RNA
Source: RNAcentral
GACGAACGCUGGCGGCGUGCUUAACACAUGCAAGUCGAACGGAAAGGCCCUGCUUUUGUGGGGUGCUCGAGUGGCGAACGGGUGAGUAACACGUGAGUAACCUGCCCUUGACUUUGGGAUAACUUCAGGAAACUGGGGCUAAUACCGGAUUGGAGCUCCUGCUGCAUGGUGGGGGUUGGAAAGUUUCGGCGGUUGGGGAUGGACUCGCGGCUUAUCAGCUUGUUGGUGGGGUAGUGGCUUACCAAGGCUUUGACGGGUAGCCGGCCUGAGAGGGUGACCGGCCACAUGGGGACUGAGAUACGGCCCAGACUCCUACGGGAGGCAGCAGUGGGGAAUAUUGCACAAUGGGCGGAAGCCUGAGGCAGCAACGCCGCGUGCGGGAUGACGGCCUUCGGGUUGUAAACCGCUUUCGCCUGUGACGAAGCGUGAGUGACGGUAAUGGGUAAAGAAGCACCGGCUAACUACGU